GCCAGCGCGCGCCCGGCCGCCCCCUCCCCGCUGUGACCCAGCCCCCUUCCGCCCGGCCCAGCAGUCUGCUCCUGGCAUCCGCGGACUGGAGGCCGGGGCCGGCGGGCGCCGCCGUCCCGGGACGCCCGGAGGAGCGGGAGACCCCCGCGCGCCCCACCCCGGCCUGGCGCCAGACGCGUGCGCGGCCUAUUGCGCCGGGCCUGGGACGGCUCCACGUGGCCCUCGGCGGGCCACCCCCUCACCUGACCCGGGCUGAGCCGGGGUGGGCGAGGGCGGCGCUGGAGACCCAAACCAGCGCCCCAGCUUGAUCUCCACUGCUCUCGCCCUAGUCCGAGCCACCACUUCUCCAGCCUGGUUUCCGCAAGGACUCGCUGCUCCCUGUUUAGUUCUCUACGGUGGAUGGUGACUUUGGCCCCUGCGGGGCUGCUCCGUCUUGUCUCCCAAGAUUUCAUCUUUCCCUUAACCACCACUUGUGUUCCCUGUGCCAUUUAUAUUCACCAUAUAUGUAGUGUCUCUCCUCCCUCUCCUAUUUUGCCUUGCCCUUUUGCCCUGUUUCCCAAGCUUAAGAUAACCCUCUCCACUCCUCAUGGAAGCAGGGCUGCCCCUUAUUUUCAUUAAGGUCUUAGCUCAAAUGUCAUAUCAAAGAGGGCCUCCCUAACUACCCAAUUUAAAAUAGCCACUCGGUCACCCUGUAUCAUAUCAUCCUAUGCUAACUUUUUGCUCAGCACAUAUCACUAUCUGAUAUUUUUCCUGUUUAUCUGUUCAUUGUCUCUGCCCAAUAUGGAUAGAUGUCUUAUUCAGAGCUGUAUCCCCAGGACUUAGAACAAGACUUGUUAUAUAGUAGACACCCAGUAUUAUGGAAUUGAAUGUUCACUCUUAUCUGGAAUCCCAGCAUUUAACACAAUCCCUGGCAAGUGUUCCCAAAAUGAAGGACUGCAUAGCAAUCCAAAGAAUACGACAUAAUUGUGCAGGCGAUAAUGCGCAGGACUGGCUUCAUGGGCAUGUAACCUAUGGAGUUGCACAGGGCUCCCAGUUUAGAAAAGCCCUAAGCAUGGUUUAAAGCUCUGCUAUCGCCAUCUUCAAAUUCUUAACUUUUCAACAUUUUUCUUUUAACAUCAGUCUUACCUAGAAACAGUCCUGGUGCCUAAAUGUCUCCCCCUUCAUGAUCUACAAGAGGUCCCUGGUCCCCUUAGAUGACAAAAUACAGUACAAAACAGGGAGAAUUAAGGCCACUGAAUGAGGAACAAUUUAAAAAUUUUUAAUUUUCAUUUCCUUCUGAGAUAUUGUAUCAUGUUAUAGUGCUUCUUAGAUUUUAAAGGGGUCACAGACACCUUUGAGAAUCUAAAAACCGAUGAUCCAUUUUCCACGGAAAGUCCUUCUGCAUAUAAAAUUUUGUACUUACGAGGAUUCAAGGCCCUGGCACUAGAGGUACACUGGGCCUAGGAAGAGAAAGGGAUCCAGUCCUAGGCUCUGAAUCUAGCAAUAACUAGGGUGCUGUACUGGUGUAUUGCUGGGUUAAGCACAGGAGCUUGUCACUUUAUUUUUCCUUUAGUCACCAGUAUUCUUGGGACCCUAAUAGGCAUGGUGAUCUCAGGCAAGGAUUUGAGACAGAGGGGAACAAACUGUUCAGAAUUUGAUAUGACUGUGAGAAGUAAUAUGCCCUAAACAAGUUAUUUAAUCUAUCUAGGCUUUAUUUUGUCAUCUCUAAAUUGCUAUAAGAAAAUAGAGUUUUAUAAAUUCCAAGUACUUUUACUAGUUACAUCUCAGAAAUAUAAACAAAUAUUAAUCCCACAAUCAGUUUUGAGCAUCUGCUGCAUGCUAAGCCCUGAAAGGACUAGAAAGAUUCAUAGAUACAGUCCCCAAAUUCAAGACCCUUAAGGUUUAGAAUAGGAAAUAAAACAUUGUUUCCUCGUGCUUUAGUCUGCAAAUAAUAGAAAACUGAUUUAAUGUACCUUUGACAAUAAGGAAAUGUAUUACUUCACAUAAUAGGAAGUCUAAAGGCAGGACAGGCUCCAGGAUUGAUUGAUUUGAGCCUUAAUAUCAUCAUCAAGAGCCCGGAUUCUUUCCAUCUCCUUUGUCAGGGUGACAGCAAGGUGACUUAAGCUGUUCUUGCAGGUCACAUCCAGACAUGACAAUAUCCAGAGGCAUAAAGGACAUUUUCUUCGAAGUCUCCUUCUAAGACAUGGAAACUUUUCCAAGAAUUAUCCUAGUGGACUUCCCUCAUGUGCCACUGGCCAGAAAUGUGGCCCAUGCCCACCCUACACCAAUCAAAAAUAGAUGGCAUUGCUCCUUGGAUUCCCGUCAUCUGGGAUGGAGUGGCUGCUAGAGUGUCCACAAUGUCGAAUGCAGAUACCUGAGUAAAGAGAACAGCAGAUCAUAUCUGAUAUGAGCUCCAAACCGAACUACAUAUCAGAGGAGGAAGGAAUUCAUGCCAUAUAUCACUUGCAUCAAAAUGUGGCCAUAUUCAGAGGACAUGUGAGAGCCUGUUCAGUUAUACAGUACAGCAAGGGGCCAAGAGAAAGAUGAAUUUGAGAUGUUAUUUGUGACCAGAUUUUGGAGCUCUGAAAUACCAUGCCAGGAACUAUAAUGUAGUUUCAUUCGCCCUGGGCUCCACUCAGAGAUGAUGAAGACAAAACCUGGAAGCAGACUGUUUGUGGUAGAAACCAGAGGAAUGGUCAGAGGACUGAGGGCUGGUUCUGCCUCUCUUGGUCACCCUGCAUGGAACAUGUGGCCAGUCACCUCUUCUAACUGAGUGUCAGCUUCUGCGUGUGUCAAGAGGUGUGUUCAAAUAGCUAAGACAAGGACAGUGGGGUACGCCUGGAAGGGGCGUGCACCACUUCUGAGUCUCGCCUUUGAAAGGAGAGGGCAUGCACCACCCUAUGCCCCACACCACUUCCUGCUUCCUCCUGCGGACAGCAGCGACCAGAGCAGCCAACCUGGACUCUCGGAUGGAAGCCACGUAUUGAUGAAGGAGCCGCCCUUCCAGCUCUUGAGCGGGUUUCAUGACUGCU
Molecule: non-coding RNA, 3011 nt
Organism: Microcebus murinus (gray mouse lemur)
Lineage: Eukaryota; Metazoa; Chordata; Mammalia; Primates; Cheirogaleidae
Source: RefSeq, a predicted model, not a curated record